Small nucleolar RNA from Mus pahari (shrew mouse), 144 nucleotides. RefSeq annotates it as small nucleolar RNA SNORA48. The transcript has a single exon. NCBI's taxonomy places the organism in Eukaryota, Metazoa, Chordata, Mammalia, Rodentia, Muridae. The record is from RefSeq and is a predicted model, not a curated record.
GUCCCCUGGCCAUGGAUAGAGAGACACCUUGCUGGUGGUGUCCUUAUGUCAGUCAGGGAUCGUACAGUUGACAGUAGUCCUUCGUUCAUUCUAGCUUGAUGCCUGGCUUGGUGGCCAAAGCUGUUUUAUACCUAGGAUACAUAA